RNAcentral lists this ribosomal RNA (497 nucleotides) under uncultured bacterium. RNAcentral's name for it is "partial 16S ribosomal RNA". It matches the Rfam family "Bacterial small subunit ribosomal RNA", at positions 28 to 507 of the family's 1533-position model. The record is from RNAcentral.
GAUGAACGCUGGCGGCGUGCCUAAUACAUGCAAGUCGAGCGAACGGACGAGAAGCUUGCUUCUCUGAUGUUAGCGGCGGACGGGUGAGUAACACGUGGAUAACCUACCUAUAAGACUGGGAUAACUUCGGGAAACCGGAGCUAAUACCGGAUAAUAUUUUGAACCGCAUGGUUCAAAAGUGAAAGACGGUCUUGCUGUCACUUAUAGAUGGAUCCGCGCUGCAUUAGCUAGUUGGUAAGGUAACGGCUUACCAAGGCAACGAUGCAUAGCCGACCUGAGAGGGUGAUCGGCCACACUGGAACUGAGACACGGUCCAGACUCCUACGGGAGGCAGCAGUGGGGAAUCUUCCACAAUGGGCGAAAGCCUGACGGAGCAACGCCGCGUGAGUGAUGAAGGUCUUCGGAUCGUAAAACUCUGUUAUUAGGAAAGAACAGAUGUGGAAGUAACUGUGCACAUCUUGACGGUACCUAAUGAAAAAGCCACGGCUAACUACGUG